GAACGCACAUUGCGCCCUUUGGUAUUCCGAAGGGCAUGCCUGUUCGAGCGUCAUUAUCACCCCUCAAGCCCCGUGCUUGGUGUUGGACGGCUUGGUCGCGUCAACGCGACCCCUCCUAAAGACAAUGACGGCGGCCUGUGGUUCCCCCGGUACACUGAGCUUUUAACUGAGCACGUAUUGGAUAAGGGCACCCGGGACCCGGUCUUCUCCCUUUACCGGGAAAUUUUUCAAUGGUUGACCUCGGAUCAGGUAGGAAUACGCGCUGAACUUAAG
Molecule: unclassified non-coding RNA, 273 nt
Filed under: uncultured Chaetothyriales
Lineage: Eukaryota; Fungi; Ascomycota; Eurotiomycetes; Chaetothyriales
Description: sequence contains 5.8S rRNA gene
Rfam family: 5.8S ribosomal RNA (bases 1-53)
Source: RNAcentral